GUCCUGAAAAAGAAGAGAAGUGAGAUGAAUGUGGCCUUGCUUGAACCUUACCAUAUGCAUCCCAGGAGGAUCCCAGGAUAACUAACAAGCAGCGAGUAUUUUCUGAUCUUUCGCUUCAUGAAUAUUCAUGACACAUUUUGCCAGAAGUCAUGUAGGAAACUGCCACUGUCUUGGAUGGCGCUUGGAACUAAAUAGCUACCCAUCUUCUGAGCUGGCUCAAUAAAACGUACCACUGUAGUAUCCAGGUGCUUUCAUAAUAUUUCCAAGGAUAUUUUGCCAA
This 280-nucleotide long non-coding RNA is filed under the name Bos taurus (domestic cattle). RNAcentral's name for it is "long non-coding RNA NONBTAT004180". The record is from RNAcentral. Lineage: Eukaryota; Metazoa; Chordata; Mammalia; Artiodactyla; Bovidae.